Molecule: ribosomal RNA, 709 nt
Filed under: uncultured bacterium
Lineage: Bacteria
Description: bacterial SSU rRNA
Rfam family: Bacterial small subunit ribosomal RNA
Source: RNAcentral
UCCUGGCUUCAAACGAUGUGGGCUUGGUGUCGGCCCCCUACAGAGGGUCGUUGCCGGAGCUAACGUGUUAAGCCCACCGCCUGGGGAUUACGUCCGCAAGGAUGAAACUCAAGGGAAUUGACGGGGGCCCACACAACCGGUGGAGCACGUGGUUUAAUUCGAUGAUAAGCGAAGAACCUUACCAGGGCUUGACCUAGCGGUAGUAGGAUCCUGAAAGGGAAACGACCUCAAGCUUUGCUUGAGGAGCCGUGGCAGGUAUUGCAUGGCUGUCGUCAGCUCGUGUCGUGGGACGUUGGGUUAAGUCCCGUAACGAGCGCAACCCCUGCUCUUAAUUGCCAGCGGGUAAUGCCGGGUACUAUAAGGGGACUGCCGGAGAAUAUCCGGAGGAAGGAGGGGAUGGCGUCAAGUCAUUAUGAUCCUUAUGCUCUGGGCGACACACGUGCUACAAUGGGCACUACAAUGAGGAGCAAGUCUGCAAGGACGAGCAAAUCUCAAAAAGGUGCCCCCAGUGCGGAUUGGGGUCUGCAACCCGACCCCAUGAAGAUGGAAUCGGUAGUAAUCGCGGGUCAGCCAUACCGCGGUGAAUAUGUACUUGGGCCUUGUACACACCGCCCGUCACACCAAUCGAGUAGGCGACACCCGAAGUCGACGUAUGUUGCCGAAGGUGUUACCUGCAAGAGGGGUGAAGUCGUAACAAGGUAGCCGUAGA